Long non-coding RNA from Monopterus albus (swamp eel), 238 nucleotides. RefSeq lists it as uncharacterized. The record is from RefSeq and is a predicted model, not a curated record. NCBI's taxonomy places the organism in Eukaryota, Metazoa, Chordata, Actinopteri, Synbranchiformes, Synbranchidae. The transcript is spliced from 3 exons.
CAUAUAAAGGUCGCUCAGAAGACAAGUCCUUCCUCUAUGAAGUCGUGGCCAACAGAAGAAAUGGCAUUGAUGUGGAUAAGUGGGACUACUUUGCCAGGGACUGCUACCACCUGGGCAUCCAGAACAAUUUUGACUAUCAUCGCUUCCUAAAGUUUGCCAGGGUAUGUGAGGUGGACGGGCAGAAGAACAUCUGCACUAGAGACAAGGAGGUGGGCAAUCUGUACGACAUGUUCCACAC